GGGGGCGACCUGGAUUCGACGCGGGUAAUGAAACCUGAGGUGCAUGCCGAGCUGCAAUCAACUCGUUAAACUGACUGCAAACUUUUAGUUGCCAAUGAUGACAACUACGCACUAGCAGCUUAAAAACCUGCUCAGCGCCUUCCGCCCGGUUCGUGCCCAUACGUCCGGAUCACGGGAGUCACCCUAUAUGGGAUCGCGACGAAGCACGCCUGGUGUGGACUCGUUAAAACCUAUCCAGGAUCGUUUAUGGUUUUCCCUGCCUGUCGGGUAACCAUCGACUAAACCAAUAGACCGGAUAAGCAUGUAGAGCCAAAGGCGGAGUGCUUGCGGACGCGGGUUCGAUUCCCGCCGCCUCCACCA
This 360-nucleotide transfer-messenger RNA is filed under the name Lysobacterales. RNAcentral's name for it is "JAHEFT01 sp013001885 Standard tmRNA". It matches the Rfam family "transfer-messenger RNA". From Rfam's summary of the family: Bacterial tmRNA, also known as 10Sa RNA or SsrA, is named for its dual tRNA and mRNA-like properties. Its role is to liberate the mRNA from a stalled ribosome. The record is from RNAcentral. RNAcentral also lists the same sequence under 2 other names. Lineage: Bacteria; Pseudomonadati; Pseudomonadota; Gammaproteobacteria.